AGACGGGUAGGGGGCCUGAGAGGGUGACCCCCCACACGGGCACUGAGACACGGGCCCGACUUCUACGGAAGGCAGCACUGACGGAUAUUGCCCAAUGGACGGAAGUCUGAGGCCGCAACGCCGCGUGCGGGAUGAAGGCCUUCGGGUUGUAAACCGCUUUUCUGCUCGAAGAGGAAGGACGGUAGCGCACGAAGAAGUCUCGGCUAACUACGUGCCACCAGCCGCGGUUGAACGUAGGAGGCGAGCGUCAUCCGGAUUUACUGGGUGUAAAGCGCGUGCAGGCGGUCGCGUCAGUGGUGCGUGAAAGCGCCCGGCUCAACCGGGCGAGGCCGUGCCAAACUGCGUGACUGGAGGCAGGUAGAGGCGCGUGGAAUUCCGGGUGUAGUGGUGAAAUGCGUAGAUCUCCGGAGGAACACCAGUGGCGAAGGCGGUGCGCUGGGCCUGACCUGACGCUAAGACGCGAAAGCAUGGGGAGCGAACGGGAUUAGAAACCCCGGUAGUCCAUGCUGUAAACGAUGCAGACUAGGUCUUGCGUGCGACGAGUAUGCAGUGCCGAAGCAGACGUGAUAAGUCACGCCACCUGGGGACUACGCCCGCAAGGUUAAAACUCAAAGGAAUUGACGGGGGCCCGCACAAGCAGCGGAGCGUGUGGUUUAAUCUCGAGGCUACACGAAGAACCUGACCUGGGCUUGACAUGGCGAUGGUAGGGAACCGAAAGGGGACCGACCUUCGGGAGCCGUCACAGGUGCUGCAUGGCGGUCGUCAGCUCGUGUCGUGAGAUGUUCGGUUAAGUCCGGUAACGAGCGCAACCCUCGCCGUUAGUUACAAGUGUCUAACGGGACUGCCCGAUGAACGCGGGAGGAAGGUGGGGAUGACGUCAAGUCAGCAUGGCCUUUAUGUCCAGGGCUACACACACGCUACAAUGGCCGGUACAAUGGCUCGCCAACCCGCGAGGGGGAGCCAAUCCAUCAAAGCCGGUCUCAGUUCGGAUUGCAGGCUGCAACCCGCCUGCAUGAAGUCGGAGUUGCUAGUAACCGCAGGUCAGCUAUACUGCGGUGAUACGUUCCCGGGCCUUGUACACACCGCCCGUCACGUCGUGGGAGCUGCUCAUGCCUGAAGUCGGUAGGUUAACCGUAAGGAGACAGCCG
RNAcentral lists this ribosomal RNA (1148 nucleotides) under uncultured organism. RNAcentral describes it as "bacterial SSU rRNA". It matches the Rfam family "Bacterial small subunit ribosomal RNA", at positions 277 to 1455 of the family's 1533-position model. The record is from RNAcentral.